Molecule: ribosomal RNA, 382 nt
Filed under: uncultured eukaryote
Lineage: Eukaryota
Description: partial 18S ribosomal RNA
Rfam family: Eukaryotic small subunit ribosomal RNA
Source: RNAcentral
CAAUAGCGUAUAUUGAAGUUGUUGCAGUUAAAAAGCUCGUAGUUGGAUUUCUGGUUGAAGCGACCGGUCGGGCGUUGAUUCGUCUGCACUGGAGUCGGUUUUGGCCAUCCUCUAGGAAAGUGCGUCUGGUAUUAAGUUAUCGGGCGUAUGAUCCUGGUCUUUUACUGUGAAAAAAUUAGAGUGUUUAAAGCAGGCCUUCGCCUUGAAUACAUUAGCAUGGAAUAAUAAGAUAGGACUUUGGUCUAUUUUGUUGGUUUGCAGACCGAAGUAAUGAUUAAUAGGGAUAGUUGGGGGUAUUUAUAUUCCGAUGUCAGAGGUGAAAUUCUUAGAUUUUCGGAAGAUAAACUUAUGCGAAAGCAUUUACCAAGGAUGUUUUCAUUAA